Molecule: ribosomal RNA, 497 nt
Filed under: uncultured bacterium
Lineage: Bacteria
Description: partial 16S ribosomal RNA
Rfam family: Bacterial small subunit ribosomal RNA
Source: RNAcentral
GAUGAACGCUGGCGGCGUGCCUAAUACAUGCAAGUCGAGCGAACGGACGAGAAGCUUGCUUCUCUGAUGUUAGCGGCGGACGGGUGAGUAACACGUGGAUAACCUACCUAUAAGACUGGGAUAACUUCGGGAAACCGGAGCUAAUACCGGAUGAUAUUUUGAACCGCAUGGUUCAAAAGUGAAAGACGGUCUUGCUGUCACUUAUAGAUGGAUCCGCGCUGCAUUAGCUAGUUGGUAAGGUAACGGCUUACCAAGGCAACGAUGCAUAGCCGACCUGAGAGGAUGAUCGGCCACACUGGAACUGAGACACGGUCCAGACUCCUACGGGAGGCAGCAGUAGGGAAUCUUCCGCAAUGGGCGAAAGCCUGACGGAGCAACGCCGCGUGAGUGAUGAAGGUCUUCGGAUCGUAAAACUCUUUUAUUAGGGAAGAACAUAUGUGUAAGUAACUGUGCACAUCUUGACGGUACCUAAUCAGAAAGCCACGGCUAACUACGUG